GUGCCAGCAGCCGCGGUAAUACCGGCAGCCCAAGUGAUGGCCGAUCUUAUUGGGGGUAAAGCGUCCGUAGCUGGCCACGCAAGUCCAUCGGGAAAUCCACCCGCCCAAGCGGUGGGCGUCCGGUGGAAACUGUGCGGCUUGGGACCGGAAGGCGCGUGGGGUACGUCCGGGGUAGGAGUGAAAUCCCGUAAUCCUGGACGGACCGCCGAUGGCGAAUCCACGUCGCGAGGACGGAUCCGACAGUGAGGGACGAAAGCCAGGGUCUCGAACCGGAUUAGAAACCCCAGUAGUCC
This 293-nucleotide ribosomal RNA is filed under the name uncultured prokaryote. Its description in RNAcentral is "partial 16S ribosomal RNA". It matches the Rfam family "Archaeal small subunit ribosomal RNA", at positions 455 to 747 of the family's 1478-position model. The record is from RNAcentral.